GGCAUCUGGUUAGAGAAAGCUGUUGUCCUGAGGGUGUAGCUACUAAAAAAAGCACAGGGAGGAACAGUCAACGGGUACAUCCAAGCCACUUCUAUCAUCGCCACCACUUAGGGAUUAAAUAUCACAUUUAAAGGCCAGGGGCUACAGGCAGAUGCUAAGCUACUUUAUCUUGGUGCCAUGAAUGGGAUUGGAGGGUGACCUUUCCUGAUCACCUGCUUCCACCAACAUCAGAAGAGGGCCAUAAACAACUUUGACUCUGCGAUCUUCUCCAAGCAAACACACGAGAAAACACACAUGAUUUGGAUCCAGCUUCUUUUGCAGGCCUUGAAGAUGGGGCUGUGUUUCAGGACCGAUUCAUGCCAAGAAUGCUGGGAUUCAAAGGUGUUGCUGGAGGUGUGACCUGUGAUUCUGCAGGAGCAUUCGAAACAUGGAAGAAGCAGAGUACGCAGUUGGUCAAACUGAAAACACCCCAAGAAAUUUAGAGGAAAUUAAAAUGUUGCUUACGUUAGAGAAAAACUGGAAACAAGAAAGCAGAAGGAAGAUCAGAUGAGGCAAACCAAAAAGAAGAACAUUCGUAGAUCAGCAAUUGACUGGCAAUAUACAUCGCAGUGUGAAAUUUUCUGCUUAGCAUUCAUUGCAUUUUCUUGGCUUGGCAGUAUGUCACACACAAAAAUGCCUCGUUUUUAUAAUUGCUCCGUUCCAUUUAUUCAUUCUCUAAGUUAUUGUUAAUCAGCCUGUGCCCACUAUUUCAAUAUACAUUUCUCUCUCUCUCUCUCCCUCCCUCUCUCCCUCUCUCUCUUUCUCCCUCUCUUCCUCUCUCCCUUUCUCUC
This is a long non-coding RNA of Crotalus tigris (Tiger rattlesnake), 830 nucleotides long. RefSeq lists it as uncharacterized. NCBI's taxonomy places the organism in Eukaryota, Metazoa, Chordata, Lepidosauria, Squamata, Viperidae. The record is from RefSeq and is a predicted model, not a curated record. The transcript is spliced from 3 exons.